GACGAACGCUGGCGGCGUGCUUAACACAUGCAAGUCGAACGCUGAAGCCCUUUCGGGGGUGGAUGAGUGGCGAACGGGUGAGUAACACGUGGGUAAUCUGCCCUGUACUUCGGGAUAAGCCUUGGAAACGGGGUCUAAUACCGGAUAGGACCUGUCCUCGCAUGGGGGUGGGUGGAAAGUUCCGGCGGUAGGGGAUGCGCCCGCGGCCUAUCAGCUUGUUGGUGGGGUAGUGGCCUACCAAGGCGACGACGGGUAGCCGGCCUGAGAGGGUGACCGGUCACACUGGGACUGAGACACGGCCCAGACUCCUACGGGAGGCAGCAGUGGGGAAUCUUGCGCAAUGGGCGAAAGCCUGACGCAGCAACGCCGCGUGGGGGAUGACGGCCUUCGGGUUGUAAACCUCUUUCGACAUCGACGAAGGGGCCCUGUUGUGGGGUUUUGACGGUAGGUGUGGAAGAAGCACCGGCUAACUACGUGCCAGCCGCCGCCGUAA
Molecule: ribosomal RNA, 493 nt
Filed under: uncultured bacterium
Lineage: Bacteria
Description: partial 16S ribosomal RNA
Rfam family: Bacterial small subunit ribosomal RNA
Source: RNAcentral